RNAcentral lists this non-coding RNA (183 nucleotides) under Haliea sp. E1-2-M8. RNAcentral's name for it is "6S RNA". It matches the Rfam family "6S / SsrS RNA". Rfam says of the family: E. coli 6S RNA was the first non coding RNA to be sequenced, but its function was unknown until recently. It consists of 184 nucleotides that fold into an extended hairpin structure with a large single-stranded internal bulge. The 6S RNA specifically associates with RNA polymerase holoenzyme containing the sigma70 specificity factor. Lineage: Bacteria; Pseudomonadati; Pseudomonadota; Gammaproteobacteria; Cellvibrionales; Halieaceae. The record is from RNAcentral.
GGAUCCCUGGCAUAUGCGCCAGGCAGACAAGUCCUCGAGCCGAUAAGUCUAUACCUGGAGGAUCCUCGCCGCUGUUGGUGUGCAAGUCCGGCCCGUUCCGGAAAGCCUGAAAACAGUGCAGGAGCCCCCGCCUUGAACCGUCGGGUUCAAGGGCCACUCUGUCAACGCUAUGCCGGGAAUCCA